This 76-nucleotide transfer RNA is filed under the name Phytohabitans houttuyneae. RNAcentral describes it as "tRNA-His". The record is from RNAcentral. Lineage: Bacteria; Bacillati; Actinomycetota; Actinomycetes; Micromonosporales; Micromonosporaceae.
GUGACUGUGGUGUACCGGCAGUGCACGGCAGGCUGUGGCCCUGCAGGUCCCGGAUCGUCCCCGGGCAGUCACCCCA